CAGCCGCCGCGGGAAUACGAAGGGUGCAAGCGUUAAUCGGAAUUACUGGGCGUAAAGCGUGCGCAGGCGGUUAUAUAAGACAGAUGUGAAAUCCCCGGGCUCAACCUGGGAACUGCAUUUGUGACUGUAUAGCUAGAGUACGGCAGAGGGGGAUGGAAUUCCGCGUGUAGCAGUGAAAUGCGUAGAUAUGCGGAGGAACACCGAUGGCGAAGGCAAUCCCCUGGGCCUGUACUGACGCUCAUGCACGAAAGCGUGGGGAGCAAACAGGAUUAGAUACCCCCGUAGUCCCUGUCUCUUAUAC
Molecule: ribosomal RNA, 301 nt
Filed under: uncultured bacterium
Lineage: Bacteria
Description: partial 16S ribosomal RNA
Rfam family: Bacterial small subunit ribosomal RNA
Source: RNAcentral